This 216-nucleotide ribosomal RNA is filed under the name Glomeromycotina sp. RNAcentral's name for it is "partial small subunit ribosomal RNA". The stretch from base 44 to 216 matches the Rfam family "Eukaryotic small subunit ribosomal RNA", at positions 690 to 864 of the family's 1831-position model. The record is from RNAcentral. Lineage: Eukaryota; Fungi; Glomeromycota.
GGGUCAGUAGGUUGGUCGUGCCACCGGUACGUACUGGUCUCACUGAUUCCUCCUUCCUGAAGAACCGUAAUGCCAUUAAUUUGGUGCUGCGGGGAAACAGGACUGUUACUUUGAAAAAAUUAGAGUGUUUAAAGCAAGCUAACGCUUGAAUACAUUAGCAUGGAAUAAUGAAAUAGGACGAUCGAUCCUAUUUUGUUGGUUCCUAGGAUUGACGUA